AAUGAACGCUGGCGGCAGGCCUAACACAUGCAAGUCGAACGGGUCCUUCGGGACUAGUGGCGGACGGGUGAGUAACGCGUGGGAACGUGCCCUUUGGUUCGGAAUAGCCCUGGGAAACUGGGAGUAAUACCGGUUGUGCCCUUCGGGGGAAAGAUUUAUCGCCAAAGGAUCGGCCCGCGUUGGAUUAGGUAGUUGGUGGGGUAAUGGCCUACCAAGCCGACGAUCCAUAGCUGGUUUGAGAGGAUAAACAGCCACACUGGGACUGAGACACGGCCCAGACUCCUACGGGAGGCAGCAGUGGGGAAUCUUAGACAAUGGGAGAAACCCUGAUCUAGCCAUGCCGCGUGAUCGAUGAAGGCCUUAGGGUUGUAAAGAUCUUUCAGAUGGGAAGAUAAUGACGGUACCAUCAGAAGAAGCCCCGGCUAACUCCGUGCCAGCCGCCGCGGUAAAAC
Molecule: ribosomal RNA, 452 nt
Filed under: uncultured bacterium
Lineage: Bacteria
Description: bacterial SSU rRNA
Rfam family: Bacterial small subunit ribosomal RNA
Source: RNAcentral